RNAcentral lists this transfer RNA (97 nucleotides) under Microbacterium barkeri. Its description in RNAcentral is "tRNA-Ala". Lineage: Bacteria; Bacillati; Actinomycetota; Actinomycetes; Micrococcales; Microbacteriaceae. The record is from RNAcentral.
CGUCGCGUGGACCGCCGCGGACGGGGUGGCCGCCCCGCAGGAGGCCGGCGGCAAGAUGCCGAACCUGAACGGACUGUUCGACACGCUCGGCAACGUC